AGUGAACGCUGGCGGUAGGCCUAACACAUGCAAGUCGAACGGCAGCACAGUAAGAGCUUGCUCUUACGGGUGGCGAGUGGCGGACGGGUGAGGAAUACAUCGGAAUCUACUUUUUCGUGGGUGAUAACGUAGGGAAACUUACGCUAAUACCGCAUACGACCUACGGGUGAAAGCAGGGGAUCUUCGGACCUUGCGCGAUUGAAUGAGCCGAAGUCGGAUUAGCUAGUUGGCGGGGUAAAGGCCCACCAAGGCGACGAUCCGUAGCUGGUCUGAGAGGGUGAUUCGCCACACUGGAACUGAGACACGGUCCCGACUCCUGCGCGAGGCCGCAGUGGGGACUAUUGCACAAUGGGCGCAAGCCUGAUCCAGCCAUACCGCGUGGGUGCAGAAGGCCUUCGGGUUGUAAAGCCCUUUUGUUGGGAAAGAAAAGCAGCAGGUUAAUACCCCGCUGUUCUGACGGUACCCAAAGAAUAAGCCCCGGCUAACUUCGUG
Molecule: ribosomal RNA, 492 nt
Filed under: uncultured bacterium
Lineage: Bacteria
Description: partial 16S ribosomal RNA
Rfam family: Bacterial small subunit ribosomal RNA
Source: RNAcentral